This 253-nucleotide ribosomal RNA is filed under the name uncultured bacterium. RNAcentral's name for it is "partial 16S ribosomal RNA". It matches the Rfam family "Bacterial small subunit ribosomal RNA", at positions 524 to 776 of the family's 1533-position model. The record is from RNAcentral.
GACAGAGGAUGCAAGCGUUAUCCGGAAUGAUUGGGCGUAAAGCGCCUGUAGGUGGCUUUUCAAGUCCGCCGUCAAAUCCCAGGGCUCAACCCUGGACAGGCGGUGGAAACUGCCAAGCUGGAGUACGGUAGGGGCAGAGGGAAUUUCCGGUGGGGCGGUGAAAUGCGUAGAGAUCGGAAAGAACACCAACGGCGAAAGCACUCUGCUGGGCCGACACUGACACUGAGAGACGAAAGCUAGGGGAGCGAAUGGG